UUCGGGGUACUCGAGUGGCGAACGGGUGAGUAACACGUGGGUGAUCUGCCCUGCACUUUGGGAUAAGCCUGGGAAACUGGGUCUAAUACCGAAUAGGACCACGCGCUUCAUGGUGUGUGGUGGAAAGCUUUUGCGGUGUGGGAUGGGCCCGCGGCCUAUCAGCUUGUUGGUGGGGUAAUGGCCUACCAAGGCGACGACGGGUAGCCGGCCUGAGAGGGUGACCGGCCACACUGGGACUGAGAUACGGCCCAGACUCCUACGGGAGGCAGCAGUGGGGAAUAUUGCACAAUGGGCGCAAGCCUGAUGCAGCGACGCCGCGUGAGGGAUGACGGCCUUCGGGUUGUAAACCUCUUUCAAUAGGGACGAAGCGNGAGUGACGGUACCUAUAGAAGAAGCACCGGCCAACUACGUGCCAGCAGCCGCGGUAAUACGUAGGGUGCGAGCGUUGUCCGGAAUUACUGGGCGUAAAGAGCUCGUAGGUGGUUUGUCGCGUUGUUCGUGAAAACUCACAGCUUAACUGUGGGCGUGCGGGCGAUACGGGCAGACUAGAGUACUGCAGGGGAGACUGGAAUUCCUGGUGUAGCGGUGGAAUGCGCAGAUAUCAGGAGGAACACCGGUGGCGAAGGCGGGUCUCUGGGCAGUAACUGACGCUGAGGAGCGAAAGCGUGGGGAGCGAACAGGAUUAGAUACCCUGGUAGUCCACGCCGUAAACGGUGGGUACUAGGUGUGGGUUCCUUCCUUGGGAUCCGUGCCGUAGCUAACGCAUUAAGUACCCCGCCUGGGGAGUACGGCCGCAAGGCUAAAACUCAAAGGAAUUGACGGGGGCCCGCACAAGCGGCGGAGCAUGUGGAUUAAUUCGAUGCAACGCGAAGAACCUUACCUGGGUUUGACAUGCACAGGACGCCGGCAGAGAUGUCGGUUCCCUUGUGGCCUGUGUGCAGGUGGUGCAUGGCUGUCGUCAGCUCGUGUCGUGAGAUGUUGGGUUAAGUCCCGCAACGAGCGCAACCCUUGUCCUAUGUUGCCAGCGGGUUAUGCCGGGGACUCGUAGGAGACUGCCGGGGUCAACUCGGAGGAAGGUGGGGAUGACGUCAAGUCAUCAUGCCCCUUAUGUCCAGGGCUUCACACAUGCUACAAUGGCCGGUACAAAGGGCUGCGAUGCCGUGAGGUGGAGCGAAUCCUUUCAAAGCCGGUCUCAGUUCGGAUCGGGGUCUGCAACUCGACCCCGUGAAGUCGGAGUCGCUAGUAAUCGCAGAUCAGCAACGCUGCGGUGAAUACGUUCCCGGGCCUUGUACACACCGCCCGUCACGUCAUGAAAGUCGGUAACACCCGAAGCCGG
This 1336-nucleotide ribosomal RNA is filed under the name Mycobacterium sp. DWMJ-1448B2. RNAcentral's name for it is "bacterial SSU rRNA". It matches the Rfam family "Bacterial small subunit ribosomal RNA", at positions 81 to 1430 of the family's 1533-position model. The record is from RNAcentral. Lineage: Bacteria; Bacillati; Actinomycetota; Actinomycetes; Mycobacteriales; Mycobacteriaceae.